Molecule: long non-coding RNA, 1686 nt
Organism: Drosophila pseudoobscura
Lineage: Eukaryota; Metazoa; Arthropoda; Insecta; Diptera; Drosophilidae
Exons: 2
Source: RefSeq, a predicted model, not a curated record
GCACCCAUACAUGAUCGCUUUGAGCUUUAAUUAAAGCUUUCUUGUGACGAUUGGAACGAUGUGCAAACACAUCUCUCUCUAUCCCUGUCUUUCUGCUGGCGAGGCUGAGGCUGAUAUCGUACCCACCCUUCCCUUCCUUCCCUUCCCUAUCCACCCCUCCUAAUCGGAGACCCUCAUCGAAGCGCAUUAAAUUCCAAUAAAUUGCCUAAAUUAAGCAAAACGGAACCAGGAAUGGAACGAAUCGGAACGGAGCCAUCAAUGCGCCUUCGACCAGCAUUUCUCAUUCGAGAAUUGCUGUUAUUGUUGACUUUUGGGCGCAAUUAAAAGUACAUUUUAUUGCUGGAAAAUUCUCCAUUGCGUGGUGGAGGAAGCCGUGCAAGCCGUGCAAGCCGUGGACGCCGUGGACGCCAAGUCAUUCUGGAGCCAAACCAAAUACUCCUCCCUCUCCCUCUCCAGAGUUCAGUUCAGUUCGGCUCGCUACUGUCCGCUUUUUGCAUUCCAACCCUCAGGAGCAGCAGCAGAUGCAGCACCACCGUUAUUCGACACGCGACUGGGACCCAGCUCCAGAUCCAAUAUAUCGCUUGCCACAGUGUAGCAACGGGAAAAGAGUGACAGGGACAGCGAAAGCGAGAGCGAGAGCGAGAGCGACAGGAGCACACAGGCAUUACGCACACCCUACCCCCGUCCACCUAUCCGUGUAAGCGUACAUAUGCGAGGGCUGCUAUACAAGUUUCGUGCCUUAGCAGGACUCGCACUAAAAAACUGAAAUUGACACAGGGGAUGUGAAGCCGAGAGUUAGUUCAACUUUUACUGGUGCUGUCUUGUCACCGUGCAGUUGAGGCAUCCUUGGACGUUGGAAAGGAUUUACCAUGAUCACACAAUUUAGGAAUCGGUCAACAAGAGAUGAAUUUGAGUCCGAAACAAAACAGUAAUCCACGGUAUGGGUCAAAGCGAGCCAAAUGCCAAAUGCAAAAUGCAAAAUGCCAAAUGCCAACCGAAAACCAUUUUCCACCACCAAAGUUAUUUUUUGAAAGUUGGGCCAGCUACUCAUGUAGCACCCUACGUAUGUAUUGUAUAUCCGUUUGUAUAAGCCAUAUCCAGGAGUCGGAUUCGAUCAAGAAUCCACCCCAUUCAACGGCCACAUUCAACGGCUCCUGUUUUCCCAGGCCAGCGAACAGGGAAUGGAUUAACUGGUUGAGUUGGUUAACUGACAGACUGAAUUUUGAUUUUGCCCCGCUUAAGCAAGAGUGCGAAGAGGGACAAUAGCCAUGAGAAACGAAGAAUACGGGCUCACACUCUCCCAUAAAUCACUUUUAAGAGGAACAACUUUUAUCAAGAAUCACCUUUCUCAUAGGAGAAAAUGGUAGAGGAAAACAUGACUGACUGUAAAAAUACCCAGAAAGUGAUCUUUUGCCUUUUUUAAUAGAUACUAAUUUCAGAUAAAAAUAAAUAAAAUUAUAUGGCAAUUGGUUAAAUAUCGGGACAAAAGUACAUACAUACUCGUAUGUACAUAUGUAUGUAUGUACAUGGAAAUGGGUUUUAUUAGCUUUUAAUUAUUUGGUCUCGGUCGAAAUAUUCGAAACAGUGAGAGCUCUUUGCGGAAUUGCGGAAAAGGCGGAAGAGGCCAUGAUCGCAGGCAACUCACGCUACGAUCCGUUUUAGUUGGAGUACAUAUGUAUGUACAUA